RNAcentral lists this ribosomal RNA (429 nucleotides) under Bacillota bacterium. RNAcentral describes it as "Firmicutes bacterium partial 16S ribosomal RNA". It matches the Rfam family "Bacterial small subunit ribosomal RNA", at positions 355 to 776 of the family's 1533-position model. Lineage: Bacteria; Bacillati; Bacillota. The record is from RNAcentral.
UAGGGAAUCUUCGGCAAUGGACGGAAGUCUGACCGAGCAACGCCGCGUGAGUGAAGAAGGUUUUCGGAUCGUAAAGCUCUGUUGUUAGAGAAGAACGUUGGUAGGAGUGGAAAAUCUACCAAGUGACGGUAACUAACCAGAAAGGGACGGCUAACUACGGGCCAGCAGCCGCGGUAAGACGUAGGUCCCGAGCGUUGUCCGGAUUUAUUGGGCGUAAAGCGAGCGCAGGCGGUUCUUUAAGUCUGAAGUUAAAGGCAGUGGCUUAACCAUUGUACGCUUUGGAAACUGGAGGACUUGAGUGCAGAAGGGGAGGGUGGAAUUCCAUGUGUAGCGGUGAAAUGCGUAGAUAUAUGGAGGAACACCGGUGGCGAAAGCGGCUCUCUGGUCUGUAACUGACGCUGAGGCUCGAAAGCGUGGGGAGCAAACAGG